Molecule: ribosomal RNA, 128 nt
Filed under: uncultured bacterium
Lineage: Bacteria
Description: partial 16S ribosomal RNA
Rfam family: Bacterial small subunit ribosomal RNA
Source: RNAcentral
CCCGGGUCUUGUACACACCGCCCGUCACACCAUGGGAGUGGGUUUACCAGAAGUAGUUAGCCUAACCGCAAGGAGGGCGAUUACCACGGUAGGAUUCAUGACGUGGGUGAAGUCGUAACAACGGUACC